This 207-nucleotide unclassified non-coding RNA is filed under the name Hevea brasiliensis (rubber tree). Lineage: Eukaryota; Viridiplantae; Streptophyta; Magnoliopsida; Malpighiales; Euphorbiaceae. The record is from RNAcentral.
GGAGUUGCUUCCUCUUGUGCAGGAGUCAUCGGUGAUGGUGUGAUUAUUAUUUUUUUUUUGUACGAUCUUUAUUUUAUUUUUCCUUCCCAUGUGGGUUUGUAUGCUUAAUAGUUUUUAUGGAAAUACAAUAAACACUUUGUAAAAAAAUUUGGAAAAUUCCAAGUUUCAAGAGAGAAUUUGAUUCUGAGGAUUUUAGCAAUAAAUAUA